UACGUAGGUGGCAAGCGUUGUCCGGAUUUAUUGGGCGUAAAGCGCGCGCAGGCGGUUCGUCGCGUCCGAGGUGAAAUCUCCCGGCUCAACUGGGAGGGGUCUUCGGAUACGGGCGGACUUGAGGAGAGCAGAGGUGAGUGGAAUUCUCGGUGUAGUGGUGAAAUGCGUAGAUAUCGAGAGGAACACCAGUGGCGAAGGCGGCUCACUGGGCUCCACCUGACGCUGAGGCGCGAAAGCGUGGGGAGCGAACCGG
RNAcentral lists this ribosomal RNA (253 nucleotides) under uncultured prokaryote. Its description in RNAcentral is "partial 16S ribosomal RNA". It matches the Rfam family "Bacterial small subunit ribosomal RNA", at positions 524 to 776 of the family's 1533-position model. The record is from RNAcentral.